CAGCCGCCGCGGGAAUACGUAGGUGGCAAGCGUUGUCCGGAAUUAUUGGGCGUAAAGGGCUCGCAGGCGGUUUCUUAAGUCUGAUGUGAAAGCCCCCGGCUCAACCGGGGAGGGUCAUUGGAAACUGGGAAACUUGAGUGCAGAGGAGGAGAGUGGAAUUCCACGUGUAGCGGUGAAAUGCGUAGAGAUGUGGAGGAACACCAGUGGCGAAGGCGACUCUCUGGUCUGUAACUGACGCUGAGGAGCGAAAGCGUGGGGAGCGAACAGGAUUAGAUACCCGCGUAGUCCCUGUCUCUUAUAC
Molecule: ribosomal RNA, 301 nt
Filed under: uncultured bacterium
Lineage: Bacteria
Description: partial 16S ribosomal RNA
Rfam family: Bacterial small subunit ribosomal RNA
Source: RNAcentral